RNAcentral lists this ribosomal RNA (253 nucleotides) under uncultured bacterium. Its description in RNAcentral is "partial 16S ribosomal RNA". It matches the Rfam family "Bacterial small subunit ribosomal RNA", at positions 524 to 776 of the family's 1533-position model. The record is from RNAcentral.
UACGGAGGAUGCGAGCGUUAUCCGGAUUUAUUGGGUUUAAAGGGAGCGUAGACGGGAUGUUAAGUCAGCUGUGAAAGUUUGGGGCUCAACCUUAAAAUUGCAGUUGAAACUGGCAUUCUUGAGUGCGGCAGAGGCAGGCGGAAUUCGUGGUGUAGCGGUGAAAUGCUUAGAUAUCACGAAGAACUCCGAUUGCGAAGGCAGCUUGCUGGAGCGUAACUGACGUUGAUGCUCGAAAGUGGGGGUAUCAAACAGG